ACGGCUCAGUAACACGUGGAUAACCUGCCCUAAGGAAGGGGAUAGCCCCGGGAAACUGGGGAUAAUACCCUAUAGGUUACAGAUGCUGGAAUGCCCUGUAACCCAAAGCUCCGGCGCCUUAGGAUGGAUCUGCGGCCGAUUAGGUUGUUGUUGGGGUAACGGCCCAACAAGCCAGUAAUCGGUACGGGUUGUGGGAGCAAGAGCCCGGAGAUGGAUUCUGAGACACGAAUCCAGGCCCUACGGGGCGCAGCAGGCGCGAAAACUUUACAAUGCGGGAAACCGUGAUAAGGGAACUCCGAGUGUCCGUCAAUGCGGACUGUCCGUAUGUUUAAAAAGCAUGCGAAGAAAGGGCCGGGCAAGACCGGUGCCAGCCGCCGCGGUAAUACCGGCGGCUCGAGUGGUGGCCGCUAUUACUGGGCUUAAAGGGUCCGUAGCUUGAUAAUAGGGUCCCUUGAGAAAUCCGCCGGCUUAACUGGCGGGCGUUCAGGGGAAACUUGUUUUCUAGGGACCGGGAGAGGUGAGGGGUACUGCCGGGGUAGGAGUGAAAUCCUGUAAUCCCGGUGGGACCACCUAUGGCGAAGGCACCUCACCAGAACGGGUCCGACAGUGAGGGACGAAAGCUGGGGGAGCAAACCGGAUUAGAUACCCGGGUAGUCCCAGCUGUAAACUAUGUGCGUUAGGUGUGUCAGUGACCACGUGUCACUGAGGUGCCGAAGGGAAACCGUGAAACGCACCGCCUGGGGAGUACGGUCGCAAGGCUGAAACUUAAAGGAAUUGGCGGGGGAGCAC
This 789-nucleotide ribosomal RNA is filed under the name uncultured archaeon. Its description in RNAcentral is "bacterial SSU rRNA". It matches the Rfam family "Archaeal small subunit ribosomal RNA", at positions 85 to 879 of the family's 1478-position model. The record is from RNAcentral.